Molecule: ribosomal RNA, 425 nt
Filed under: uncultured bacterium
Lineage: Bacteria
Description: bacterial SSU rRNA
Rfam family: Bacterial small subunit ribosomal RNA
Source: RNAcentral
GGGCCCGCACAAGCGGUGGAGCAUGUGGUUUAAUUCGAUGAUACGCGAGGAACCUUACCAGGGCUUAAAUGUAGAUUGCAUUAGGCAGAGAUGCUUAUUUCUUCGGACUAUCUACAAGGUGCUGCAUGGUUGUCGUCAGCUCGUGCCGUGAGGUGUCAGGUUAAGUCCUAUAACGAGCGCAACCCCCUGUUGUUAGUUGCCAGCGAGUAAUGUCGGGAACUCUAGCAAGACUGCCGGUGCAAACCGUGAGGAAGGUGGGGAUGACGUCAAAUCAUCACGGCCCUUACGUCCUGGGCUACACACGUGCUACAAUGGUAGGGACAGAGAGCAGCCACUUCGCGAGAAGGAGCGAAUCUAUAAACCCUAUCACAGUUCGGAUCGCAGUCUGCAACUCGACUGCGUGAAGCUGGAAUCGCUAGUAAUCG